UGGACGAAGUCUGACGGAGCACGCCGCGUGAGUGAUGAAGGUUUUCGGAUCGUAAAGCUCUGUUGUUAGGGAAGAACAAGUGCGAGAGUAACUGCUCGCACCUUGACGGUACCUAACCAGAAAGCCACGGCUAACUACGUGCCAGCAGCCGCGGUAAUACGUAGGUGGCAAGCGUUGUCCGGAAUUAUUGGGCGUAAAGGGCUCGCAGGCGGUUUCUUAAGUCUGAUGUGAAAGCCCCCGGCUCAACCGGGGAGGGUCAUUGGAAACUGGGAAACUUGAGUGCAGAAGAGGAGAGUGGAAUUCCACGUGUAGCGGUGAAAUGCGUAGAGAUGUGGAGGAACACCAGUGGCGAAGGCGACUCUCUGGUCUGUAACUGACGCUGAGGAGCGAAAGCGUGGGGAGCGAACAGGAUUAGAUACCCUGGUAGUCCACGCCGUAAACGAUGAGUGCUAAGUGUUAGGGGGUUUCCGCCCCUUAGUGCUGCAGCUAACGCAUUAAGCACUCCGCCUGGGGAGUACGGUCGCAAGACUGAAACUCAAAGGAAUUGACGGGGGCCCGCACAAGCGGUGGAGCAUGUGGUUUAAUUCGAAGCAACGCGAAGAACCUUACCAGGUCUUGACAUCCUCUGACAACCCUAGAGAUAGGGCUUUCCCUUCGGGGACAGAGUGACAGGUGGUGCAUGGUUGUCGUCAGCUCGUGUCGUGAGAUGUUGGGUUAAGUCCCGCAACGAGCGCAACCCUUGAUCUUAGUUGCCAGCAUUCAGUUGGGCACUCUAAGGUGACUGCCGGUGACAAACCGGAGGAAGGUGGGGAUGACGUCAAA
This 822-nucleotide ribosomal RNA is filed under the name uncultured Bacillus sp. Its description in RNAcentral is "bacterial SSU rRNA". It matches the Rfam family "Bacterial small subunit ribosomal RNA", at positions 372 to 1189 of the family's 1533-position model. The record is from RNAcentral. Lineage: Bacteria; Bacillati; Bacillota; Bacilli; Caryophanales; Bacillaceae.